Long non-coding RNA from Syngnathus typhle (broad-nosed pipefish), 2150 nucleotides. RefSeq lists it as uncharacterized. The transcript is spliced from 3 exons. The record is from RefSeq and is a predicted model, not a curated record. NCBI's taxonomy places the organism in Eukaryota, Metazoa, Chordata, Actinopteri, Syngnathiformes, Syngnathidae.
AACACUCGCAGGAGCAAACGCAGACUCAGCGAGGAGAAGAGACACUCAAAGUCGACAUGUUCCAGUCGAGAAUCGGAAGGCCGACACAGCUCGAUCACCUGCGAACGGAAUGAUGUGGGGAGGUGAAAAGCGGACGCGAAGGAAAAGGAGCCUCCAUGAUGCCUCUCAUGAAGGGCUGCACCAGCGCAGGUGAGAUGGCUCUCCUCUUCUCCACCUCGUCCAGGAUCUGACAACAUUCAGUGAUUUGUAUAAUAAUUUAAUAAUUAACUUUUGGGUAUUUUCAGGAUUUUUUUUUUCUACAUUUCCACCGUACUCCAUCGGGAACACACAGAAUCUGUUCCGAUCGUUUUUUGAAGGAAUUUUGGAGUUUGUCAUUUUUUUGCAGACCAUGCCCCCCCCCCCCCCCAAAAAAAAAAACCUAGCUCCACCAGUGUUGCCACCCCUUUCCAAAUGAAAAUUUACAAUCUUUACAGCACAAUUAAAUGUGAUAUCACCCGCCCGAUUCAGUGGUCGCAUUUGUUUGAACAAAACUGCAAAGCACAAGGACCACUUCAAGGGCAUAUUUACUCGCCGCUUUAAUUAAGCGAUGCUGUGCGUAAACAUUUCAAGUGGAAAUGCUUGUAAAGCUUUCAUUUCCACUGCUGCAACCACAGCAGCUGCACAUACACACACACACACGUGCGACGCGGUUCCGUGCUGGAGUACGAGGCCGGCCAGGCAAUACAAGACCGCACACGGGGGCGGGGUGUGGCUCUGCGGGCGCAGAGGGUGGUCAUGCUGCUUCACUUUAACCAUGGCCACUUGGAUGUUGAAGUGUUUUUUUUUUUUUAUUGCAUGUGCUUGUACUGUACCUUGGAAAAAAGGUCAAAGCAGCCCAAGCGGCUGACGAUGCAGUAGACCUCGGGGAGCCUUCGGCCCUUACCGCUGGGCUGUAGAUAAAAUUUAAUAGUAAUCAAUCUAGAUCUGUAAAACUACUUCCAUUUAAAAAAAAAAAAAAAAGUGUGUUUUGGUACAUACCAGCAAUCGUCUGCAGUAGCCAAAUCGACGACUUCCAUCCUCACCGGUCAGCACGAAUGAAAAUGUCUCACUGAGGGUAUGAAAAGAACAGAAAAACAUGUAAGAUGGCACUCCCAGAAAGAAAAGCAAAUUUAUCAUCUCAUCUUUUGAUUUCCAGUUUGCACCUGGGGAAGUUAUCGACCGGCGCCCAGUCUUUGGCGUCGGGGAAGCAGAACUGAGGGAUGACCUUCAGCUGGUCUUCUGUCUCCCGCAUGAACUUGAAGCUGCGUUCAAGCUGGAUUGGAAAAGGCAACAAGAUCCCUGUCCAAGGUCCGGUACCGCCCCGUCUGCCUCAGCAUGGACUGGACCGACACCAGCCUCUGGCUAUGAGCUAAAGGAUAGCAAAAGAAAUGCAUGAGGGACAAAAGUCUUCUUUUUCCGGCCUAACCCGAGCGCUCUUUCUCACCUUUUAGCUUCUCCUCCGUGUCACUUUCUGACUCGCUGUUCUCGUCGGUCACUACAUGAAAAAAAAAACAUGAGAUGACUCCGGGACAAGAAAACUUGAAAGCGACGCCUCACCUCUCCCUGAGCUGGACUCGGUGGACUGCGACACCUUCUUCAUGCGCUUUUUCCCUCUCCGAGCCUCGAAAAUACCGUUGAUUUUUAUCACCAUCUGCAAAGAGAAUUCAUUUUCGCCAAAUUGAUUUCGGAAAACAUUUUGGGAUGUAAAAGAAAGCGAUACCUUGGGGAUUUUCCUCCGUCGCCGGUUGUACGGGUCCCCGGAGAGGCAGGGGGUGUCAUCGGGGCUGCUUGGCGUGGACGGCGGGCUGACGCGUGACGGUGAACACACGCCAGCGUCCCUGUUGGUCUUGCGUAACUCCAAGAGUUUGAAACUCCGUCGCUCGGAGUUCUGCCUGAAGAAGCCAGGCUUGGAGCACAACUGUUGGUGCACGGAAACUUUCACUUAGGUUGAGUGGGAAGCCAGAUCAUUGAUUGGAAGUAUUAUUUUUUGCCAGAUUAAAUCAAAGCUUAUGCCUCUGAUUGGUUGUUUUUCCUCAGACGCGGUGUUUUCUUGUAAAUCAAAUUAAAGGCACAAGAUGGGGCCAGAAACUUUUUUUCUAAAUAAAAAUAAAUAAACUCACAUUUAUCAUGAA